UAUGUAAAAAAAUUUUGCAAUUUAUUAAAGAUAGAGCCUAUAUUAAUUAUACAUAUAAUAUAUGCAUUAUAUGUAUAUAAAUACGCAAAUACUUUUUCAGUAUGAAUAUACCUUUAAGUAAUGUUAUUUGGGGAUAAAAGCCUGGGUCAAGAAUUCUAUGUUGUCAAAAUAACCAAGAUUUUCCUUAAAACAAGUGGGAUGAAUUAGAAGAUUUUAAAAGAUGUUGGAAUAUGUAAUGGUAACGUCCUUGUGAAUUCAGAAGAGUGAAGAACUGCUUCGUCUCGUUUGAGAAGAAAAGGCCAUCUUAUUCUAGUGAAUAAGGGAGGUUUGUUGUAAGAAACGGAGGACUGAAAAAAUCUAUGAAAGCAAGAGGCAGAUGAAGAGGAUAGUCUAAUUUCCAAAAUAUUUAUUUUGAAGAACUACACUUUCUAAAACUGGCCUGGAACAAGAUAUAGCCAAUAUGACUCACGGCAGGUGAGAGGACACAGCUGGAGAAGAGCAAGUCCAGGCUUCCGCUUCCCUUGGGUGGCUGACUUCUAGAUCUGCAAUGCUUAAUCAUAAAAAAAAGGAAGCGAUGGUUGAGGACAUUAAAUGAGAAAUGUGUCUUCAAAGUACCUCGCCUGAAGAGCCAAGAUAAUUUACCAAGCCCGGAAAAGGGCAAGAGCACAUCAGGAUCACGAUGGACACAACAGAGCUCAGUCUUGAGAAACAAUCGCAGGGGCAUCGUUACAUUUAUCUGGGUCUUUCUUCAUCUGGAGGACUUCCACUGCUGCCGUUCACUGCAGGAUUGGCCGGUGAGACGUGUAAGGAGAGACUUGGCUGUGUUACCCAUAUAAGGAGCCUCCUAGAGGUAGCCCUGCAGCCCUCAGCCCUGAGUGUGUGUAAGGCAGCAAGCAUCUCAGCAGGAGGAAAAGACGUGUCUGCCUUCAAGGAAUUUUAAAUUUAAUGAGGAAAUAUUAAUUGUGAUGGUUUGGAACCUCAUCACCAUUAGAGGCACACUAGCCUCUUCACUUUUCUCAAAUAUGGCCUGGCAUGUUACACCUCAGGGCCUUUGUACAAGAUCCUUCUUCCCGGCAUGGUCUUCUAAUAUAGCCUCAUGACCUCCCCCUCUGCAUCUCCUUCAGGUCUUU
RNAcentral lists this long non-coding RNA (1130 nucleotides) under Equus asinus (donkey). Its description in RNAcentral is "lncRNA (ENSEASG00005031114.1)". Lineage: Eukaryota; Metazoa; Chordata; Mammalia; Perissodactyla; Equidae. The record is from RNAcentral.